RNAcentral lists this ribosomal RNA (1534 nucleotides) under Salmonella enterica subsp. enterica serovar Agona str. SL483. RNAcentral describes it as "bacterial SSU rRNA". It matches the Rfam family "Bacterial small subunit ribosomal RNA". Lineage: Bacteria; Pseudomonadati; Pseudomonadota; Gammaproteobacteria; Enterobacterales; Enterobacteriaceae. The record is from RNAcentral.
AGAGUUUGAUCAUGGCUCAGAUUGAACGCUGGCGGCAGGCCUAACACAUGCAAGUCGAACGGUAACAGGAAGCAGCUUGCUGCUUUGCUGACGAGUGGCGGACGGGUGAGUAAUGUCUGGGAAACUGCCUGAUGGAGGGGGAUAACUACUGGAAACGGUGGCUAAUACCGCAUAACGUCGCAAGACCAAAGAGGGGGACCUUCGGGCCUCUUGCCAUCAGAUGUGCCCAGAUGGGAUUAGCUUGUUGGUGAGGUAACGGCUCACCAAGGCGACGAUCCCUAGCUGGUCUGAGAGGAUGACCAGCCACACUGGAACUGAGACACGGUCCAGACUCCUACGGGAGGCAGCAGUGGGGAAUAUUGCACAAUGGGCGCAAGCCUGAUGCAGCCAUGCCGCGUGUAUGAAGAAGGCCUUCGGGUUGUAAAGUACUUUCAGCGGGGAGGAAGGUGUUGUGGUUAAUAACCACAGCAAUUGACGUUACCCGCAGAAGAAGCACCGGCUAACUCCGUGCCAGCAGCCGCGGUAAUACGGAGGGUGCAAGCGUUAAUCGGAAUUACUGGGCGUAAAGCGCACGCAGGCGGUCUGUCAAGUCGGAUGUGAAAUCCCCGGGCUCAACCUGGGAACUGCAUUCGAAACUGGCAGGCUUGAGUCUUGUAGAGGGGGGUAGAAUUCCAGGUGUAGCGGUGAAAUGCGUAGAGAUCUGGAGGAAUACCGGUGGCGAAGGCGGCCCCCUGGACAAAGACUGACGCUCAGGUGCGAAAGCGUGGGGAGCAAACAGGAUUAGAUACCCUGGUAGUCCACGCCGUAAACGAUGUCUACUUGGAGGUUGUGCCCUUGAGGCGUGGCUUCCGGAGCUAACGCGUUAAGUAGACCGCCUGGGGAGUACGGCCGCAAGGUUAAAACUCAAAUGAAUUGACGGGGGCCCGCACAAGCGGUGGAGCAUGUGGUUUAAUUCGAUGCAACGCGAAGAACCUUACCUGGUCUUGACAUCCACAGAACUUUCCAGAGAUGGACUGGUGCCUUCGGGAACUGUGAGACAGGUGCUGCAUGGCUGUCGUCAGCUCGUGUUGUGAAAUGUUGGGUUAAGUCCCGCAACGAGCGCAACCCUUAUCCUUUGUUGCCAGCGGUCCGGCCGGGAACUCAAAGGAGACUGCCAGUGAUAAACUGGAGGAAGGUGGGGAUGACGUCAAGUCAUCAUGGCCCUUACGACCAGGGCUACACACGUGCUACAAUGGCGCAUACAAAGAGAAGCGACCUCGCGAGAGCAAGCGGACCUCAUAAAGUGCGUCGUAGUCCGGAUUGGAGUCUGCAACUCGACUCCAUGAAGUCGGAAUCGCUAGUAAUCGUGGAUCAGAAUGCCACGGUGAAUACGUUCCCGGGCCUUGUACACACCGCCCGUCACACCAUGGGAGUGGGUUGCAAAAGAAGUAGGUAGCUUAACCUUCGGGAGGGCGCUUACCACUUUGUGAUUCAUGACUGGGGUGAAGUCGUAACAAGGUAACCGUAGGGGAACCUGCGGUUGGAUCACCUCCUU